CCCUUAGAUGUCCGGGGCCGCACGCGCGCUACAAUGGAUGAAUCAACGCGUCAUCCUGGCCCGAAAGGGUUGGGGAACCGCUGAACCUCAUCCGUGGUUGGGAUUGGGGUUUGUAAUUAUUCCCCAUGAACUAGGAAUCCCCAGUAAGCGCGAGUCAUAAGCUCGCGUUGAUUACGUCCCUGCCCUUUGUACACACCGCCCGUCGCUACUACCGAUUGGAUGGUUUAGUGAGAUCCUCGGAUUGGUCACGGCACGGUGGCAACACUGCGUCGGUGUGCCGAGAAGACGAUCAAACUUGAUCAUCUAGAGGAAGUAAAAGUCGUAACA
This 327-nucleotide ribosomal RNA is filed under the name uncultured eukaryote. Its description in RNAcentral is "partial 18S ribosomal RNA". It matches the Rfam family "Eukaryotic small subunit ribosomal RNA", at positions 1470 to 1796 of the family's 1831-position model. The record is from RNAcentral.